UAAAUAUAUAAGUUACGGCCUGGCACCCCUAGCCGUAUUGCACCAACACUUGCAGACUUGUCAUACUAAGCAUUCUUUCUGAAAUAAUAAAUCAGUCAGUCAAGUUUCAUCCUUCAACCAGUGCAGUGCUGAAGUUAAUCGUCCGAACCUCCCCACGGGCCAGGAAGCAGCCAACAUGGCCCGCUUCCCGGGAACCCCGUACAUAACUGGCGCAGUCGGUCGUCUCGGUGAAUUACCGAGACUUAAGAGAAUCAGGAUGAUAAUCACGAGCCGAAACCGAGGACUGGCAGGCAAACAGCAUCGAAAAAAAUCAAUAGCAUCUUCAUUCCUUCUUUUAUUUGAUAUUUCUAACGCUUUUUACUUUUAGACUUCCACCAUAUUCACUCAACACCCGCUUGGUAACCACGUCUAGGGAAAGCAGCAGACGUGCAAAACAACCAGGCUAAUUUCUCCCCAAUGAACCUAACCAGCGUUUUGAGAGGUAGUAAUGGAUAUGAAGAAUGAGUUGUAAUUGUAAAAUUCGUAAUCAUUGUGGCGUUAACGAAAAGAACAAAAAAAAAAGGGUUUUAUGCCGUGAUUGAGGAGAGAGCAGACAUAGCUCAACCUCAACCCAAGUGCUUUUGUCCCUUCCAAAAGCCUUAGCCUGCAAAAAUUCUGAUGGAUGCUACUAAGAAACUGUACACCGAAUAUCGCUGUUAGAAUUAAGUUUGGUAGGACAAGUUAGCAAGAAAUCGUUUAAAUCAAACCAGAAAAUUCUCAUAAUUCUUAUGAGCCUGAGCCGCAUCAACCAAAUGCUAGGAAUGUGAUAUCCUUGAUACGUCAGGAAUCCUUCCUGUUGCCAUCCCGGGGCUCCAGACAACUAGAUUUGUGAGGCCCUCGACACGUCAGGACUCCGUCUAGCCUGGAACAGUCAUUGGGAAUGUGAUGUCCUCGAUACGUCAGGCAUCCGCCCUUGGACGAACUCCGCAGCAACUCGAGCACAUCAGUGGAACUCAGAGAAAAAAA
Long non-coding RNA from Culex quinquefasciatus (southern house mosquito), 1005 nucleotides. RefSeq lists it as uncharacterized. The record is from RefSeq and is a predicted model, not a curated record. The transcript is spliced from 2 exons. NCBI's taxonomy places the organism in Eukaryota, Metazoa, Arthropoda, Insecta, Diptera, Culicidae.